Pygocentrus nattereri (red-bellied piranha) is the source of this 481-nucleotide long non-coding RNA. RefSeq lists it as uncharacterized. Lineage: Eukaryota; Metazoa; Chordata; Actinopteri; Characiformes; Serrasalmidae. The record is from RefSeq and is a predicted model, not a curated record. The transcript has 2 exons.
CGCAGGGUCGCUGUUGCUGUGCUCGUUUGAAAACGGCGGUGGCGGCCAAAACGGCUGAUUACAGACAGGAGAAAAUGAACGUCUUUGUGAGCGGAUAAACGAAUCGUCGUAGGAGUGUUUGAAUAGCUGUAAACCCGAGGACAGAGAGCGCAGACAGAGAGGUGAGGCAGAGGUCACUGCUUUAAUGCUUUAACAAGAUCAUUGAGAGAAACUGUCCACAGUGUCCAAAGCCUGGAAUUAUCUUCCUUAUGGAUGCCUAAGAUGACGGUCAUCUUUCUCUGAGUUGUUCUUUAAACUGUUAUGCAGAGACGGUUAAGGGUGAGUGGACUGAGACUGAAGAAAACAAAAGUGCACCGUGAGAAUGAACAGUGACGUGUCAUUCUAUGAGAUAUUUGAUGUGAGCAUGAAGUCCCAAUCCUGAAAAUACAAACGCUGUUUCCAGAAAAGUUGGGACAUUUUGUAAAAUGUGAUAAAACAAGAA